AUGUGGGCAUUUAAAAAUAUCUUUGCAAUUAGGCCAGGCGUGAGAAAAAAAAUUCAAAGACGACGAUCUCUUUUGGUGUAUUUCUAUUCUCCCUGUUCCAAAUCUUUUUGUUUGGAUGCCACCGGCACACCACAUGUUGUUCUGAAGAUAUCAUGCUAUGGGACUUUUCAGCAGAAUCAAAACAAAAGGAAGCUAUGGUGUUACUUGCAUCUCAGUUUUCACAUUCUUCUCAGGUUUCACAAAAACAUAAACAUGAUUGGAUGGGCGUCCUUGCCGGCGACCUCGCUAUCUCCAACCCAUCCACAGGUUGCUUGGUGUCCUCUCAUCGUGUCUAUUGGUGCAGUAUCACAUAUCCUCUCUCGAAGAGAUGAGAUAAGGAUUACAGGGCUACCAACAACCCACCUCACCUAUAAUGGAAGACAUCCUGAUUCAUUGUUGCAAGCUAGAGAACAAUAA
RNAcentral lists this ribosomal RNA (456 nucleotides) under Triticum aestivum (bread wheat). RNAcentral's name for it is "partial small subunit ribosomal RNA". The record is from RNAcentral. Lineage: Eukaryota; Viridiplantae; Streptophyta; Magnoliopsida; Poales; Poaceae.